UGCGUAGGCGGCCUCUUAAGUCUGGCGUGAAAGCCCAGGGCUCAGCCCUGGAAGUGCUCUAGAAACUGAGAGGCUAGAGUGCCGGAGGGGAGAGUGGAAUUCCCGGUGUAGCGGUGAAAUGCGUAGAUAUCGGGAGGAAUACCGGUGGCGAAAGCGACUCUCUGGACGGUAACUGACGCUGAGGCACGAAAGCGUGGGGAGCAAACA
RNAcentral lists this ribosomal RNA (207 nucleotides) under uncultured bacterium. RNAcentral's name for it is "partial 16S ribosomal RNA". It matches the Rfam family "Bacterial small subunit ribosomal RNA", at positions 568 to 774 of the family's 1533-position model. The record is from RNAcentral.